RNAcentral lists this ribosomal RNA (643 nucleotides) under Escherichia coli. RNAcentral describes it as "bacterial LSU rRNA". It matches the Rfam family "Bacterial large subunit ribosomal RNA", at positions 2306 to 2925 of the family's 2925-position model. The record is from RNAcentral. Lineage: Bacteria; Pseudomonadati; Pseudomonadota; Gammaproteobacteria; Enterobacterales; Enterobacteriaceae.
GAGCACGAAGGUUGGCUAAUCCUGGUCGGACAUCAGGAGGUUAGUGCAAUGGCAUAAGCCAGCUUGACUGCGAGCGUGACGGCGCGAGCAGGUGCGAAAGCAGGUCAUAGUGAUCCGGUGGUUCUGAAUGGAAGGGCCAUCGCUCAACGGAUAAAAGGUACUCCGGGGAUAACAGGCUGAUACCGCCCAAGAGUUCAUAUCGACGGCGGUGUUUGGCACCUCGAUGUCGGCUCAUCACAUCCUGGGGCUGAAGUAGGUCCCAAGGGUAUGGCUGUUCGCCAUUUAAAGUGGUACGCGAGCUGGGUUUAGAACGUCGUGAGACAGUUCGGUCCCUAUCUGCCGUGGGCGCUGGAGAACUGAGGGGGGCUGCUCCUAGUACGAGAGGACCGGAGUGGACGCAUCACUGGUGUUCGGGUUGUCAUGCCAAUGGCACUGCCCGGUAGCUAAAUGCGGAAGAGAUAAGUGCUGAAAGCAUCUAAGCACGAAACUUGCCCCGAGAUGAGUUCUCCCUGACUCCUUGAGAGUCCUGAAGGAACGUUGAAGACGACGACGUUGAUAGGCCGGGUGUGUAAGCGCAGCGAUGCGUUGAGCUAACCGGUACUAAUGAACCGUGAGGCUUAACCUUACAACGCCGAAGGUGUUU